UCCGGCUUAUCACCGGCGGUUUCUUUAGAGUGCCCAACUAAAUGAUGGCAACUAAGGGCGAGGGUUGCGCUCGUUGCGGGACUUAACCCAACAUCUCACGACACGAGCUGACGACAGCCAUGCAGCACCUGUCUCUGCGUCCCUUGCGGGAAAACCCCUAUUAGAGGGCGGUCGCAGGAUGUCAAACCCUGGUAAGGUUCUUCGCGUUGCGUCGAAUUAAACCACAUACUCCACCGCUUGUGCGGGCCCCCGUCAAUUCCUUUGAGUUUCAGUCUUGCGACCGUACUUCCCAGGCGGCGAACUUAACGCGUUAGCUUCGAAACUGAGGGCCAAGUUGCCCCCAACUUCCAGUUCGCAUCGUUUAGGGCGUGGACUAC
This 377-nucleotide unclassified non-coding RNA is filed under the name uncultured Pseudomonadota bacterium. Its description in RNAcentral is "uncultured proteobacterium contains 16S-23S intergenic spacer region". Lineage: Bacteria; Pseudomonadati; Pseudomonadota. The record is from RNAcentral.